This 11411-nucleotide long non-coding RNA is filed under the name Gossypium barbadense (sea-island cotton). RNAcentral describes it as "long non-coding RNA (GBAR_LNC007831)". Lineage: Eukaryota; Viridiplantae; Streptophyta; Magnoliopsida; Malvales; Malvaceae. The record is from RNAcentral.
UUUACAAUUUAGUCAUUUACUUUUUCUUUUCCCCGAUCUACUCCCGAAUUUCGUUCUUCUUGAUCUAUAAUAGCAAAUUUAAAUUAUUUAAUAUUCACAUUUAUUAAAACAGUCCUUGACCCAACUUUUGCAUAAUUAUAUUUUUACCCUUAAACUUUCACAUAUUUGCACUUUUGCCCCAAGGCUCGUAAAUUAAACUUCAUCCUAUUUUCUUAUGUUUUAUGACAUGCUGAUCAUUUUUCCCUUCUAUGGCAAUAUCAAAAUCACACUCUAACAUAUACUUAUGACUAUUGGUAUUUUUUUCCAAUUUAAGCCAUUUUACUCGUUUUCACUUAAAACCGAGUAGCAUAAGUUGUUUAACAUAAUUUAAAACCUCAUAUUCUAUCAUAAAACACCAAAAUACACAAAUUUCAGCCAUGGGUAUUUUUCCAAAUAUGAACCCUAGGUUGAAUUAUUGCUAGAAUAAGCUUAAUCAAGUUACCGGGACUCCAAAAACGUAAAGAUCAUUAAAAACGGGGCUUGGAAUCACUUACUAUGAAGCUUGAAAGUUGAAGAAACCCCAGCUAUGGAGGAGAGCAAAAAUCGCCAGAAACUAAUUGAGAAGAUAACCAUUUUUGUGUUAUUUUUCCCUUUUUAAUUCAUUUAAUAUCCAAAUGACCAAAUUACCCCUCCUUACUAAACUUUCAAAUAUUCCUUCCAUGUCUUAAUUUUUGACCAUGAACUUAAAAUUGGUCAAAUUUUUAUUUAAACCCUCCUAAGUAAUUUCAUACUAAAAACUUCUAGAAUGCAAGUUUUGCAAAUUAUUCGAUUUAGUCCCUAACCUCAACUUAAGCACUUUAUGCAUAGAAUUUCAUCAUGAAAUUUUCACACAAUCAUGCAAUCAUACCAUGAACCUCAAAAUAAUAAUAAAAUAAAUUUUUCUACCUCGUAUUUGUGGUUUCGUAACUACUAUUCCGUUUAGGCCCUAUUUCGGGAUGUUACAACUAAUUCACAUUCAAAGUUAAAUUUCCUUCGUCAAGUCCCUUGGGGCAUCAUUUUGCUGAAUGCUAACCAAUGUUGACUAUUCUAGAUAUAUACCACAUCAAAUCCCAUGCAUACAUAUAAGAAUGUUAAAUUAGAUUAACUGCAGAUGACAGAUAGAUAAAGCAGAUUUUGAGAAAUUAAUUACAGAUUGAAUUCAUGUUAGAGCUGGUUAGGUUUUUGGCCUCUUAAAUUACAUUGGGUUUAGUUUUUUCAUUUAAAUACGAUAACACAUGCAGAUAACAUGUGCCAAUGUUCUGCAUAUAUUUUGUGUACUAUAUUCUGGUUAAAAUUAAAAAUAGUUUCAGAUUCUGAAUAUCUAAUACAUUACAGAUCAUGCCCCAGCUUUUGGGUUUAAUUCCAUUUUGAAGAUUUUUAUUUACUCUCGUGGUGUUGUUUUUUUUCUGUGUUCUAAUUUUUAAUUGAUUUCUUUUGUAUACAAUCAUAUGUGCAACAUGUUAGCUCAGUAUACAAAGAAAUGUCUUGAUACGGGGUUACGCGCGGACCAAGAUCGAGUUGCCAAGUCACGAGAAACUCCUACGAAAACCCUAAACAAUUAGAUCUGAAACGAAACAGAAAAUUAAAAGAUUAGAUUUUUAAAUUUUCAGAUCUGAAAUAAAAUCCCCAAAACAGUAAAGAAUCAAAUAGAGAAUAGAAAUAAGUGUUAAUAAGGAAUCUUGAAACCCUAGAAGAGAUUGCGAUUCUGCCCAAUUGAACACCCAGAUAGUUUUCCCCAAAUUUUGGCAAUCUAAUUUCUCCCAAAAAGAGUAUGGAUGAAUCGGCAAGGACCCUAGAAAUUGGGGAUUUUUGGGCUAAUUCCUUAAUAUAGAAAAAGGCUGAAAACACAAUAAGAACAGAAAAUAAAUUAGAUAAAGAUUCGGCACAAGCAGAAAUAAAGAAAGAAUUGACAAUAAGAAAUUAAAAGAUAAGUCCUAAGAAGCCUUGAAAUCCCGAAAGAUCUCACAACUCCUUUCAAACGGCUCUAAUCUCCCCUCCAAAGAAUAUCAAUGGCAAGAAGAAGGUUGAAGAUGGCUCCCACAAUCAAAAAGAUUGUUAAAACAACUUCUAAAGAAAACUCAAGAGAAAAUCCUUGAAGAACUCAAAGAGAAUUUUCACUCAAAUCAAAUCUGAAAUUUUCAAUGUAAUUGUAAUGUAAUGUAGGGUGGCUGGCCAAGCCAUAUAAAUAGGCCUUUCAAAUGUUUUCCUAAUUUAAUUAGAACACUAAAACUAAAACUAAAAAAAAAAAACUCCUAAUUAUUUUAAUAUGGAAAUUCGGCCAAGGGUCUUUUAUUUGGAACUCUUGGACUGAAUAUAAAAAUUUAAACUAAGUAAAAUAAAUAAAUAAAUAAAUAAAAAUAAAACUUUACAACUUGGGCCACUUUGACAAUUUGGCCUGAUUUUCAACUAAGUAUGGGUGGAUUUCUUGAUUGGGCUUGGAAUCUUCUUAUUGGGCCUUGCCCUCAAGAAUUUGGGCUUGUGAUCCAUCUCCUACCGAAAUUGAAUCGUUGAUGCUCGUAAUGGAGAUCCAAUGCGCUUUGGCUGCAAGAUUUGGUGUCUUGGACCAAGAUUCCCAAUAUUUGAAAUCUUGAUUUUCCCUUUCUUUUGUGUACGCAUCUAAGGCCUUACUAACAAACUCCUGGAUGGUCCCAUUUAGUUUGGAACGCAUUUGUCGGGCCUUUGAUCUCGUAUCAUUCCCCCCUUCCUCAAAAAGAUUUGACCUCGAAUCUGAAAAAUCAAAUGGGGACAAGUCAGCCACAUUAAAAGUAGAACUUACAUUGUACUCACCAGGUAGAUCAAUUUUAUAGGCAUUAUCGUUGAUCCUCUCGAGUACUUGGAAAGGCCCAUCGCCCCUUGGGUCCAACUUGGUCUUUCUUCUUGCAGGAAAUCGUUCUUUCCUCAUAUGGACCCAAACCCAAUCUCCAUGUUCUAGGACAACCCGUUUGCGCCCCUUGUUUGCUUUGUUGGUGUUGGCAUCAUAUGUUUUGGCUAUUCGUUGCCUAGCCUGCUCAUGUAAGGAUUUCACCAACUCAGCUUUCUGUUCACCAUCUAAAUUAACAAUGUGUUCAAGUGGUAAUGGCGCAAGAUCAAGUACUGUUAGUGGGUUAAAACCAUAAACAAGUUCAAAUGGAGAAUAACCAGUUGUAGAAUGAAUAGAUCUAUUAUAUACAAAUUCAACAAACGGUAGGCAUUCUUCCCAAUUUCUAAUGUUCUUUCCCACAACAGAUCGUAAUAAAGUCCCUAAGAUCCGAUUAACUACUUCGGUUUGGCCAUCAGUUUGGGGGUGACAUGUAGUGGAAUAAAGUAAUUUAGUACCAAGCUUACCCCACAAUACCUUCCAAAAGUGGCUAAGAAAUUUGACAUCUCUGUCAGAAACAAUUGUUUUAGGGAUGCCAUGAAGUCUUACCACUUCUUUAAAGAAUAAGUCUGCUACAUGCGUAGCAUCAUCUGUUUUGUGACAAGAAAUAAAAUGUGCUAUCUUUGAGAACCUGUCAACAACAACAAAUAUACUAUCUCUUCCUUUCUUAUUUCGAGGCAAACCUAGAAUAAAGUCCAUGGAUAAAUCUACCCAAGGUGAAGUAGGAAUCGGUAAAGGAGUGUAAAGGCCAUGAGGCAUUACCUUAGAUUUUGCUUGUUUGCAUGUAAUGCACUUGGAACAUACCUUUUCGACAUCCUUUUUCAUAUGUGGCCAAUGGAAGUGUUCUUGCAAGAUAUCCAGUGUUUUGGCCACUCCAAAAUGUCCCAUUAAACCUCCACUAUGGGCCUCAUAGAUCAAUAAGUCUCUCAUGGAACACUUUGGUAUGCAUAAUCUGUUCAUACGAAAAAGAAAGCCAUCUACAAGAUAAAAUUUAUCGAAAGCAGUAUGUCCACAAUUCUUAUAGAUAUGGCCGAAAUCAGCAUCAUCAUCAUAUAGUUCCUUAAUAUGUUCGAACCCUAAGACUUUAGCAUUCAAUGUAGUUAUUAAAGUAUAUCGUCUAGACAAAGCAUCUGCAAUUACAUUAUCUUUACCUGUUUUAUAUUGUAUCACAUAAGGGAAUGUUUCAAUGAAUUCUACCCAUCGAACAUGUCUUUUACUCAACUUACCUUGUCCCUUUAACCAUUUAAGAGAUUCGUGAUCUGUGUGUAUGACAAACUCAUUAGGCAGCAAAUAAUGUUGCCAUACUUGAAGUGCACGAACUAAUGCUAAUAGUUCUUUGUCAUAAGUCGAGUAGUUUAACUGUGCACCAUUCAAUUUCUCACUAAAAUAAGCAAUAGGUUGCUUAUCUUGCAUUAAAACAGCGCCAAUUCUAAUUCCUGAAGCAUCACACUCAAGUUCAAAAGUUUUAGCAAAAUCAGGUAAUUUAAGCAAAGGAGCAGAACAUAACUUAGCUUUUAGAGUUUGAAAGGCCUUUUCUUGGGUUUCACCCCAUUUGAAACCCACUGAUUUCUUUAUAACCUCUGUCAAUGGGGCAGCAAUAGUAGAGAAAUCUUUCACAAAUCGUCUAUAAAAACUAGCGAAACCAUGGAAAGAUUUCACCUCAGUUAUCGAUUUAGGAGUCGGCCACUCCUUAAUUGCCUUGACUUUGUCCUCGUCGACAUGAAUACCUUGAGCACUAACUAUGAAACCUAAGAAUAUUAGUUUAUCACAACAGAAUGUGCAUUUAUCAAGGUUGGCAAAUAAUUUUUCAGUUCGCAGAAUAUCCAAAACGGUUCUAACAUGGAAAACAUGAUCAUCUAACGACUUGGAGUAAAUUAAAAUAUCAUCAAAGUAAACUACUACAAAUUUACCCAACUGAAGCCUUAAAACAUGAUUCAUUAAUCUCAUAAAUGUACUAGGUGCAUUAGUAAGGCCGAAAGGCAUAACUAACCAUUCAUACAAUCCAAAUUUUGUUUUAAAAGCUGUUUUCCAUUCAUCCCAUUCCCUCAUUCGAAUUUGAUGAUAACCGCUUUUUAAAUCAAUUUUUGUAAAUAUUAUUGAACCAUGUAAUUCAUCAAGCAUAUCAUCAAGUCUAGGGAUUGGGUGUCGAUACUUUACCGUUAUCUUGUUGAUUGGGCGACAAUCAACACACAUACGAAACGUACCAUCUUUCUUUGGCACCAAUAAGACAGGAACAGCACAAGGACUUAGGCUCUCACGAAUGUACCCUUUGUCUAGUAAGUCCUCAACUUGCCUUUGCAAUUCCUUUGUCUCCUCAGGAUUGCAUCUAUAGGCUGGUCUAUUUGGGAUUGAAGCUCUGGGUAUUAAGUCAAUUUGAUGUUCUAUCCCUCGUAAAGGUGGUAAACCUUUAGGGGCCUCACUAAAAACAUCCUCAUAAUCCUGCAAAAGAGAUUGAAACACACUAGGCAAAUUUUCGUUAAUGUUAGAUAAAGAUAAAUAAUUUUGCUUAAACCUCACAAGGAUACAAGGCUGUUUAUUAAGUAGGGCUCUCUUCACAUCUUUUUUUGUUGCCAAAAGAUUUUUUUCGCUCAUUUUACCACUAGAGGAUUCACUCACCUUUGGGCUUUUUAAAUUUUGACUUUUUCCACUACUAUUAGCCUCUUUUCUCUCUGUCUUUUGUACUUGCUCUUUCUCCCUUACCCCAUCACAAAAUUUUAUCAUCCUCAAUUGAUCUUUAUAUACGUCAGUAGGAUUUAAAGGAGCAAAAGUGAAUUUCUUACCUUUAAAUACAAGGGAGUAUCGAUUAAGUUUACCUUGGUGUGUAACAUCGCGAUCAAAUUGCCAAGGUCGUCCAAGGAGCAAAUGUGCCGCAUGCAUUGGGACUACGUCACACCAUACUUCAUCUUCAUAAUUGCCGAGUUUAAAAGUGACCAAGGACUAUUUCGUAACUUUAACUUCGGAACAUUCAUUAAGCCACUGAAGGUGAUAUGGCUUAGGGUGUUUGGUGCAAGGUAACUUUAAAGAAUCAACCAAAUAGCUACUCACCACAUUUGAGCAACUACCACUAUCAAUAAUGAGUGAACAUAAGUUACCUUUAAUAAAACACCGAGAAUGGAAAAUAUUGGCCCUUUGGCUAUCAUCAUCUUUCAUCUGAAUGUUAAGGGUUCGACGAACUACAAGGCAUUGAAAAUCAGUAAAGUCUCCUUCUCUGGGUGGUUCAACCAACUCUUCGCCAUUAUCACUGUCAUCAACAAGUUCUGGCAUAUCUGGAUCUGUUUUAUCAGAGUCGGAAGUAUACUCACCAUUAUCUUUUAGAAGAAGGAAUCUCGUGUUAGGGCAUUCCCUACUAUAAUGACCACGCCCUUUGCACUUAAAACAUUCAACCUCACGAGUCCUCUUCACACUCGAAUCACCUAAAUUGGGCUGCUUAGAAGGUGUUUGCGUUUUAGCAGGAGCCCCUUUUUUCCAAUCUGACUGCUUGUUACUCAAAGAAGACUUAUUAGUAACAAAAGGUGGUUUUGAACUCUUAAAAUCAGAAUUGGAAUUGUUACCUCGGUAAUAUUGUGAAGUAGAGAAUGACCCAAACCUUUGUUCCUUUAAUUGUUGCUCGAUCUCAGUGGCUUUGUGAACUGCUUCUUCUAAAUCAAUAUAAGUUUGUAGCCUCAAUGUAUUAGCUAUCGGCCUGUUCAAACCAUCAAUGAAUCGAACCAUAGUUGUUUCUUCAUCCUCUUCUAUGUUAGCUCUCUGAAUGAGCAUCUCCAUCUCUUUAAAAUAUUCAUCCACCGUCCUACUACCUUGGAUAAGUCUUCUCAGCUUUGUUUUAAUUUCUCUAUAGUAGUGAGGUGGAAUAAACCUUUUACGCAUAAUCUGUUUCAACUCAUCCCAUGUCGAAAUCUCACCUUCAUAAUUCCGAUGGCGGUUUACCCCAAGUUGAGUCCACCAACUUAAUGCAUAAUCAGAAAAUUCCAGUGUUGCUAACGCUACCUUUUCAUCAUCUGGACAUUUAUAAUACCGAAACAUAAGUUCAAUCUUAGAUUCCCAUUCACAAUAAGCGUCAGGAUCAUUCUUACCACGAAAUUGGGGAAUUGUGAAUUUCGGUUUUGCCAAAGAAGGUUGCCCACGAUCAUGAAAAUCAUUAUCCAUUCUAGUGACACGUCGAGGGCCGCGCCUUUGGGGUUGGUUAUCCCUAUCUUCUUUGAUUGGAUGAGGUUCUUGAUUCAAUCGCACCUCAUUGAUGGUAGCAGUCAAAGCUCAAAGAGCAGCAGCCUGUUCAUCCAACUGUUGUUGGAAUUUUUUAAAUAUGUCACCAUUAUUAUCACCUGUAGACAUUUUUUUUAAAAAUCUGCAAAACACUCAACACUCAAAAAUAAAAGUUAGCAAACCUCACCGUUAAUCACUAAAAAAGAAAAUUCAAAUUCUCAAUGAGGUAGAAUUCAAUCUUGUGAGUUCUUUAUCAAAGUUUAUAUCAACCAAUUAGAGAGUGGAUGAACCGAUCUACCAAAGAAUCCUAAUGUGCACUAGGAUGCCAAAAACUGACGAGACACCAAUUGAUUCGUGUUGCACCGAGGAAGAAUUGGGCACACGUUUAAAUCCUACUAACACAAAAAACAAGAAGGUGUUAGAUAUUGUAAAGGGAGAAUAAAAAGCAAACAAAUGAAAACCUACAGCUAAGAAUCAAUAAAAAUUGUUGAAAACAGAAAACCCGAAAAACUGCGGAGUAACUUGACAACUUCGUUCGAGGUGUUCCCGAUGUCAAAAAAUCACAAAAUUAAAUCUGGAAUGUCUUCAAAUAUUGAAUUUUUGAUCUGGAAAAUUUGGGCACCAAAUUCAACCCGCUGAAUAUUUUUUUAAUUUUUUAUCGGAUUUCGUCUUUUUUAAAUUUUUUGACUUUUUAGACUUAUUUUUUUGCGGGAAAUAUUUUUGUAUAUUCAAUAACAGUGCCAAAAAUAUGUAUGUAAAAUUUCAGAUCAAUCAGAAAACGUUUACCCACUCAAAUGAAUUUUUUUUCGAAAAUUUUUCUGGGUAAAACUGUUGUUUGUAAUUUAAAAAAUAGAGAUCAGUUUAGAAAUCAACCAAGAACACCCAAAACGCCCAAAAUCUGAUACCAAAUGAUACGGGGUUGCGCGCGGACCAAGAUCGAGUUGCCAAGUCACGAGAAACUCCUACGAAAACCCUAAACAAUUAGAUCUGAAACGAAACAGAAAAUUAAAAGAUUAGAUUUUUAAAUUUUCAGAUCUGAAAUAAAAUCCCCAAAACAGUAAAGAAUCAAAUAGAGAAUAGAAAUAAGUGUUAAUAAGGAAUCUUGAAACCCUAGAAGAGAUUGCGAUUCUGCCCAAUUGAACACCCAGAUAGUUUUCCCCAAAUUUCGGCAAUCUAAUUUCUCCCAAAAAGAGUAUGGAUGAAUCGGCAAGAACCCUAAAAAUUGGGGAUUUUUGGGCUAAUUCCUUAAGAUAGAAAAAGGCUGAAAACACAAUAAGAACAGAAAAUAAAUUAGAUAAAGAUUCGGCACAAGCAGAAAUAAAGAAAGAAUUGACAAUAAGAAAUUAAAAGAUAAGUCCUAAGAAGCCUUGAAAUCCCGAAAGAUCUCACAACUCCCUUCAAACGGCUCUAAUCUCCCCUCCAAAGAAUAUCAAUGGCAAGAAGAAGGUUGAAGAUGGCUCCCACAAUCAAAAAGAUUGUUAAAACAACUUCUAAAGAAAACUCAAGAGAAAAUCCUUGAAGAACUCAAAGAGAAUUUUCACUCAAAUCAAAUCUGAAAUUUUCAAUGUAAUUGUAAUGUAAUGUAGGGUGGCUGGCCAAGCCAUAUAAAUAGGCCUUUCAAAUGUUUUCCUAAUUUAAUUAGAACACUAAAACUAAAACUAAAAAAAAAACUCCUAAUUAUUUUAAUAUGGAAAUUCGGCCAAGGGUCUUUUAUUUGGGACUCUUGGACUGAAUAUAAAAAUUUAAACUAAGUAAAAUAAAUAAAUAAAUAAAUAAAAAUAAAACUUUACAACUUGGGCCAUUUUGACAAUUUGGCCUGAUUUUCAACUAAGUAUGGGUGGAUUUCUUGAUUGGGCUUGGAAUCUUCUUAUUGGGCCUUGCCCUCAAGAAUUUGGGCUUGUGAUCCAUCUCCUACCGAAAUUGAAUCGUUGAUGCUCGUAAUGGAGAUCCAAUGCACUUUGGCUGCAAGAUUUGGUGUCUUGGACCAAGAUUCCCAAUAUUUGAAAUCUUGAUUUUCCCUUUCUUUUGUGUACGCAUCUAAGGCCUUACUAACAAACUCCUGGAUGGUCCCAUUUAGUUUGGAACGCAUUUGUCGGGCCUUUGAUCUCGUAUCAUGUCUACUUCACAAUAGGGGAGUGCUUGCGAUUAUAACAGUUUCUUUGCCUGUAGUGCUUCUCAUACUAAUGGCCCUUUCGCGUUGCUUUCUAAGAAGGCAAAUAAGAGGUACGUCUCAUAUUUUUUCUGUACUAGCUUUUUUUUAUUCAAAUUUUAAUCGUUGCCAUAGGAUAUAAUUUGCAAUUGAAUUGACAGCAGGAAGAGCAAGAAAAAGCAAAAAUAUCUUUAGCUUUACCUCAUUCAAAGACUCUUUAGGUGAAAAAGAGAUUGAUGAGAGCAGAAGAAAUGAGAUUUACCCUACUUUGAUUUGGGCACCAUAGCCGCUGCCACUAAUAAUUUCUCUUCUGAUAAUAAACUUAGGCAAGGUGGCUUUGGCCCUGUCUACAAGGUAGUUUUUCUCUAAAAAAAACAUGUGGAAGUGCAAUAAAACUCCUUAUCUGUACUUGAAGGAAAAUUCUUUGUAUUUGCAGGGUGUGCUCUUAAAUGGAAAAGAAAUAGCAGUGAAAAGACUAUCAAAUUCCUCAAGUCAGGGACUACAAGAGUUUAAGAAUGAAAUUGUGCUAAUUGCAAAACUUCAGCAUAGGAAUCUCGUAAGGAUACUAGGAUGUUGCGUUAAGGGUGAAGAGAAGAUGUUAAUUUAUGAAUUUUUACCAAAUAAAAGCUUAGACUUUAUCAUUUUCGGUAUGUCUUCUUUCAAAUUGUUGAUUACUUAUACUAACAACUUUUGUUUUAAGUUAUGCAUGAUUCCUUUUAAAAUUUGACUUUUGAUUUUAGAUGACUCAAAAAGAUCACUAUUGGAUUGGAAAAAACGUUUGGAAAUUAUCUGUGGGAUUGCCCGAGAAAUGUUGUAUCUCCACCAUGAUUCCAGGUUAAGAGUUAUUCAUAGGGAUUUGAAAGCGAGCAAUGUAUUACUAAAUGUUGCAAUGAAUCCGAAAAUUUCUGAUUUCGGCAUGGCUAGAAUAUUUGGAGGAGACCAAAUGGAAGGGGAUACCAGACGUGAAAUUGAAACAUAGUAAGAAUUCGGUAUGCAAAGUUUGGAGAAAACUGCUACAGGUUUCAAACUUAUUCUUACUAUUUCAUUUUUGUUGUAUGAUUUUAGUGGUUACAUGUCGCCUGAAUAUGCAAUGCAUGGACACUUUUCAAUGAAAUCCGAUGUAUAUAUUAACAAUGUUUGAAUUUUGAAUGUCUCGAGGAAAAGGAUGGGGGAUUUGAUUAAGUUGUUGAUAUUAACACACCAUGAUGACAACAGAUUAAUUUGCAUGUAUGAGAAUGACAAUUCGUGAAACUAAGUUCUGAAUAGUGAUUGUACAAAAAGAGUAUAAAACUUUUUUGGGUAUUACUGGAUUUUUCCUAGUUUAAUUAAAGAUCUGAUUAUAUAUUUGUUCAAGCCAUUGAUGAAUAAGUAAAAAGUGUGAUUUCACAAGUAGAUGAAAGAAAAACUAGAAGAAAAUAGGGAUGGGUUCCUUACUUUAUCAUAGGAGACUCGUACAAGCCACGAAAUAAUUCCCACUUCUUAGCAACUUGAGUAGCGACAGGCAUCAGCUUUGGCUGCCCGCCUAAAGUCCCACAGCUGCAUUUCAUCAAACAGAUGAUAGACUAUUAGAAGGAAGCAAACAAUGCCCCAAAACGCACAGAACCAAAGCAACAAAUUCAUGCAUACCUUAGAAAGAACCUUGUAAUGGGUUCAGCUAAAAGGAAAACAAAAACAAAAUUCCAAAUUUAUCAAACCGCACUUUUACAAGGAAAGUGGCCUUAAAUAUAUAGCAACUGUAGAUUAAAUGAAAACAGCCAAGUAUUCAAGUAAUUGAAAACUAUUGCCAAGUGUUCAAGUAAUUGAAAACUAUUGCCAGACCCUAAAUAUAUAUAAACUGUAAAUUAAAGAAAAUCAACCUCAUUUAUCAUUUAACACAAAACCGAAUCAACCAUACAUACCCAUGAAGAUUGAGACAAAUCUCAACAAGUCGAAACCGAUUCACCAGCUUCUACCACUGCAGGGUUAAAGAUUUCAGGGAAUCAGUAAGGAAGGCUUUCAAAGAAGGUACCGUGAAAUGCCAGUAGUUGGAGCAGGUGGUGGACAACAGAUGUACCAAUGGGUAGAUCAGGUGGUGAACGGCAGAUGCACCAGUGCCUGGAGGAGUUUGUGGACGGCAGAUGCAAUUGGUUUUCUUUGCCCAACAAAGUUUGGAGUAAAUGCUUUUUUGUGGGUAAGAAUGAAAAUAAG